RNAcentral lists this ribosomal RNA (253 nucleotides) under uncultured bacterium. Its description in RNAcentral is "partial 16S ribosomal RNA". It matches the Rfam family "Bacterial small subunit ribosomal RNA", at positions 524 to 776 of the family's 1533-position model. The record is from RNAcentral.
UACGUAGGGUGCGAGCGUUACUCGGAAUUACUGGGCGUAAAGCGUGCGCAGGCGGUUUUGUAAGUCAGAUGUGAAAUCCCCGGGCUUAACCUGGGAACUGCGUUUGAAACUACAAGGCUAGAGUGUAGCAGAGGGGGGUGGAAUUCCACGUGUAGCAGUGAAAUGCGUAGAGAUGUGGAGGAACACCGAUGGCGAAGGCAGCCCCCUGGGUUAACACUGACGCUCAGGCACGAAAGCGUGGGGAGCAAACAGG